AAUGAAGUCACAUGCAUGUCACAUGGGAGAAUGACACUAACAUGCAUCGAAUACAGUUAUUGCAGCUAAAUUCAUCUCUCUCCAUCUAACCCCUAUCCAUCUCUCUUUCUCUCAUGAUUUGUAAAGGAGUAUUGAAGGGUAAUGGCAUCAUCUGCUUCGUUGAAUCAAUCGUUUUCAUCUGUUAGGGCAAAUUCAAGAAUGGGAAGGCAGAUGAUUGAAA
Molecule: unclassified non-coding RNA, 220 nt
Filed under: Hevea brasiliensis (rubber tree)
Lineage: Eukaryota; Viridiplantae; Streptophyta; Magnoliopsida; Malpighiales; Euphorbiaceae
Source: RNAcentral